RNAcentral lists this long non-coding RNA (1005 nucleotides) under Carica papaya (papaya). RNAcentral's name for it is "long non-coding RNA (CPAP_LNC007271)". The record is from RNAcentral. Lineage: Eukaryota; Viridiplantae; Streptophyta; Magnoliopsida; Brassicales; Caricaceae.
GUCUUCUCAGAGUUUGUUAGAGAAGAAAUAUUUGCCUAAGCUGCUCAUUUCCUGCAUGCCUCUAAAAGUUUCAACUUGGUGCAUGCCUCUAAAAGUUUCAACUUGGUCUAAGUUUUUGUUGCUCAUUUGCCACAUGCUUCUAAAACUUCUCAUAUUUUUUAAGCUUGAUUUGUUUAAGUUAUGUAAAAAUUAAAAGCUUGUCUUUUUAGCUGGGGAGUACGUCCGUGGCUUGAGCUCCUUCUCUUUGUUUUUACAGACUGUAUGCUUGAUUGGAGUUGUCGAAAAGUACAAGGAGUUAGCCAAAUACAACCUGAGGCAGCUCACUUCACCAAAAUAACCAACUCAUCUCAUUUUUUAAGCAGGGAAAGUGUGAGUGGGUAUGGCUAUUGUGGGCUAGCCAAAUACAACCUGAGGCAGCUCACUUCACCAAAAUAACCAACUCAUCUCAUUUUUUAAGCAGGGAAAGUGUGAGUGGGUAACUGGCUAUUGUGGGCCAGAUAAAUCUUUCAUGCUUCAAAAAUUAUUUAGAUCUACUUUCUGUUUUGAGGGGAAAAAAAACAGCAGGCUGCAAACAUCACCAGCUUAUGUGGACAGAUUCUUAAAUUUUAAUUUCAUGCCUAGAAAAUUGCUAACUGGUGAAAUUCUACAGAAUUUUUUCUCCAGUACUUUUUCAUUCAUGAGAUAUUGAAUGAAAAAUAUACUGAAGAAAAAUAAAAUUUUGAAUCAAAAUAAUAUAUAUUCCUUCUUGCAAUAGAAAUUCACAAUUAAACACAAGCAAAUUUGAUUUGGACAUCAAAUACAUAAAUUGACAUCAAACACAAGCAAAUUUAAUAAAGUUCCUUUUUCCUAUUCUUAACAUUGUAAGAUCUAUGAUCCUAUCAAUAAGCAAAUUUAUUGUUCUGUUUAUUACUUAGCAUGUUAAAUCAUAUCCUAAUUGAACAAAGAUUUCUCUGUCAAAUCGUGCUAUAAUCAUAUCAUGAGGACUGGACAGAGACAUGAUUUCCU